Non-coding RNA from Paramisgurnus dabryanus, 1651 nucleotides. NCBI's taxonomy places the organism in Eukaryota, Metazoa, Chordata, Actinopteri, Cypriniformes, Cobitidae. The record is from RefSeq and is a predicted model, not a curated record.
CUGACCUGCCUCGCUUUCAAAUGCUAAGAGGGUCGAGAUAGACAAGAGUCACGGGAGAGAACAAGAGUGUGUGACAGCAAGAGCAUAUGGGGGAGAGAGAAAGAGGGAGGGGACGAGAAAAGGAGGGGAGAGUGAUUUUCAAAAAGGGGUCUGGUAAAUGGAUGGAGAGAGAACGAAGGAGAAUGAGAAUGAGAGAGAGGAUUUCUCCAAGCCCCUUUAUUGAAAGGUGUGAGAUGUUCAAGCAGAGAAUUAAAUAAAUAAACAAGCGGUUGAAUUAGUACAAACUGAAUAAAUGUGGAACUAAAGGAAAGGUUUUUACAGGCUGGUGAUACAUAAAGAAGCUGGAAUACUAACACGGAAAGAACGAGACCAAGCCAGAGGGGGACAGAGAGAGUGAGCGAGAGACGGAGAGCGAGAGAAGGGGAGCGAGAGAAGGGGAGGGACGUUGGGGACUGAGAUUGUUGUCUGCGUAACGCACACGGCUCAAGGAGAGGCUGUUGUAGACCUACUCUUUUCUUCAUUCUUUAUUCCCUUUUUCUCUCCCUCCUCGCCUUUCAAUUUCUUGUUUCUCCUCCUCACUGUCUCGGGAACGUCAGACGUUUGGCCAGCUGGCCCUCAUGUUGCCGCCAGCCCAGAUAUGCCUCUUCUGUGAUGAGACCACAGCAUGCUGGAUCUUCCCCCAGAUCUCACACGCCGUAGGAUAAGCAUCCUGGAGCCAGAGGUGGGUGGUAAGAAUGGGGACGACCACUGUCAGUAUAGAAGACGUUCGGGCGCAAGAGGGUAAAGAGGAGAGAGAGGAAUCCAUCUUGGCCCUGCUGGGAAUCAUCGGCACCUUCCUAAACCUCUUCGUCAUUGUGUUUGUUUACAUCUACACCACCCUGUGAGGAAAAGGACCACGUGGUAGGGGGCAGGUGUGAGGUGGAGCCAGACAGAGGUAUGACAGAGGGGUUGACGUUUCACAGAAAGGAAUGUGGAAGAUGACACUGGGCCGCUCUGGAUGGGUAGUGACGCUACUCUUGAACUUUGACUUCCAAACGUAAAGCAAGCCAGGAGGGCGGAAUAUAUUAUUGCAAAACAUUCUGAUGGACUCCAAGAAAGUGGACUUUACAUCACAAACAGGCCUUUCUGGACACACAGACAAUGAUUUUGGAUACGACAGAUUCAUAACCUUACAGGACAUGAUGGUCAUGGGCCAAGGGACUUUAUGUUUUCCCCAGUAACGGAAAUUACGUCAAGCACUGUCUGGCUUCGAUUGCAAGGACAGACAUGCACAGAAAGAUCCCAUUAGAUUUACACAGGCCAAUGGAAAGGCUGCUUUUAAACUGUACGACUCAUCCACCAAUGGAAAGAGCUUUGCAAUACAGAGAAAGAAUGGAAAAAUUUAAGUAUGAAAUCUUUUUGUAAUAAAAUAAAACGAGACACAAUGGUGGAUCCGUCCGCAAACAUUUGGACCUGUGGACACGAUACUCCUUUUCAUUACAAUCCUUCCCUUUUUCUGACUGGCAGAGGGACGAUAAACAGACGAAUAUCAGUGUGUUUUCUGACUAAAGGUGUUUCUGUGAAAAUGAAAAGCUUUUGUAUCGACAACCGAUUACAUACUAGAUGUACUGUGUCAUAGAAAAUCUCAUAAAUAAAAUGAUAUUCUAUUCUA